RNAcentral lists this ribosomal RNA (460 nucleotides) under uncultured bacterium. RNAcentral describes it as "partial 16S ribosomal RNA". It matches the Rfam family "Bacterial small subunit ribosomal RNA", at positions 338 to 795 of the family's 1533-position model. The record is from RNAcentral.
CCUACGGGAGGCAGCAGUGAGGAAUAUUGGUCAAUGGACGCAAGUCUGAACCAGCCAUGCCGCGUGCAGGAAGACGGCUCUAUGAGUUGUAAACUGCUUUUGUACGAGGGUAAACUCAGAUACGCGUAUCUGUCUGAAAGUAUCUUACGAAUAAGGAUCGGCUAACUCCGUGCCAGCAGCCGCGGUAAUACGGAGGAUUCAAGCGUUAUCCGGAUUUAUUGGGGUUAAAGGGUGCGUAGUGGGUCGGUUAAGUUAGAUGUGAAAUCCUGAGGCUCAACUUUGGAAUUGCCUUUGAUACUGGUCGGCUAGAGAGUAGUUGCGGUAGGCGGAAUGUGUGGUGUAGCGGUGAAAUGCUUAGAGAUCAUAAAGAACACCGAUUGCGAAGGCAGCUUACCAAGCUACUUCUGACGUUGAGGCACGAAAGCGUGGGGAGCAAACAGGAUUAGAUACCCUAGUAGUC